This 25-nucleotide non-coding RNA is filed under the name Mus musculus (house mouse). Lineage: Eukaryota; Metazoa; Chordata; Mammalia; Rodentia; Muridae. The record is from RNAcentral.
UGACAGCACCCAAUACAAAGACCGG